GGCGGAUGUAGCCAAGUGGAUUAAGGCAGUGGAUU
RNAcentral lists this transfer RNA (35 nucleotides) under Tinospora cordifolia. RNAcentral describes it as "partial tRNA-His". RNAcentral also lists the same sequence under 1 other name. The record is from RNAcentral. Lineage: Eukaryota; Viridiplantae; Streptophyta; Magnoliopsida; Ranunculales; Menispermaceae.